UCAUUCUCUGCAGAAAAUGAGUUGAUAGU
RNAcentral lists this non-coding RNA (29 nucleotides) under Rattus norvegicus (Norway rat). The record is from RNAcentral. Lineage: Eukaryota; Metazoa; Chordata; Mammalia; Rodentia; Muridae.